GACAGAGGGGGCAAGCGUUGCUCGGAAUUACUGGGCGUAAAGGGCGCGUAGGCGGGAUGGCAAGUCGGUCGUGAAAUCCUUCGGCUCAACCGAAGAACGUCGAUCGAUACUGCUGUUCUUGAGGGUUGCAGAGGAGACUGGAAUUCCCGGUGUAGCGGUGAAAUGUGUAGAUAUCUGGAGGAACACCGGUGGCGAAGGCGGCAUCCUGGACCAACACUGACGCUGAGUGAGCGAAAGCCAGGGGAGCAAACGGG
Molecule: ribosomal RNA, 254 nt
Filed under: uncultured bacterium
Lineage: Bacteria
Description: partial 16S ribosomal RNA
Rfam family: Bacterial small subunit ribosomal RNA
Source: RNAcentral